Eriocheir sinensis (Chinese mitten crab) is the source of this 1652-nucleotide long non-coding RNA. RefSeq lists it as uncharacterized. The record is from RefSeq and is a predicted model, not a curated record. NCBI's taxonomy places the organism in Eukaryota, Metazoa, Arthropoda, Malacostraca, Decapoda, Varunidae. The transcript is spliced from 2 exons.
GCGUGGGGGUGAUGGGGAGAGGGGUGAAGAUGGGGAGGGGAAGGGAUGGAUGGGGGAGAAGAAAGUUAACGAAAAGGAAGAGAAGGGAAAGGAAGGAUUGAAGGGAGGAAAGGGGAGACGGGGGAGGGGAGGGGAAGACAGAGGAGGGGGAGGGGAAGGGAAGGGAUGGGAGAGAAGAAAGUUAACGAAAAGGAAGAGAAGGGAAAGGAAAGGGAAGGAGAGGGAAAGGAAUGAAGGGAGGAAAGAGAGAGAGAGAGAGAGAGAGAGAGAGAGAGAGAGAGAGAGAGAGAGAGAGAGAGAGAGAUUAAUACCACAUUAUAAUAUUCACAACUAUCACUCGCUCUAUCUUUCUCUCUUCCUAUCUUUAUCUUUCCUAUCCUUCAUCUCUCUACCUAUCUCUAUCUUUCUGCUGCCUUGUAUUUAAAAUGGAUAGUGAGGUUAGGUUAGGUUCACAGGAGCUGCCUUGUACAGCCAUAACAUAACUUCAUAAAUACUAAUAUAACGUUUAAAUACCCAGGCGUUACUCUAUGUAUUCUAAGAUAGUAAAACAAAUGUCUAAAGAUUGUAACGAAAAGUAAUAAAGAAAACGAAAUACUUGACAAAACCACUAUUUCAAGGCACCACUGAACUGAUUUCCAUUCAUUUAAAAUCAUCACGUUUUAAAAUGGUCAAGAAAACUCUAUCUAAGGAAAAUAUGUAACCAAGAAGCAACAAUUUUAGGGUAUAACUAAACUGAAAAUUGCGUAGUGAGGUUAGGUUAGGUUCACAGGAGCUGCCUUGUACAGCCAUAACAUAACAUAACAUGAUAAAUACCAAUAUGAUGUUUAAAUACCCAGGCGUUACUCUAUGUAUUCUAAGAGAGUAUAUACAUGUUAAAAUGGAUAGUGAGGUUAGGUUAGCCUUGUAUAGCCAUAACAUAACAUUACUUCAUAAAUACCAAUAUGAUGUUUAAAUACCCAAGCGUUACUUUAUGUAUUCUAAGAUAGUAUAUAUACAUGUUAAAAUGGAUAGUGAGGUUAGGUUAGCCUUGUACAGCCAUAACAUAACAUAACUUCAUAAAUACCAAUAUGAUGUUUAAAUACCCAGGCGUUACUCUAUGUAUUCUAAGAGAGUAUAUACAUGUUAAAAUGGAUAGUGAGGUUAGGUUAGCCUUGUAUAGCCAUAACAUAACAUAAUUUCAUAAAUACUAAUAUGACGUUUAACCCGGUAGCAGCGACGGGCCAAAUUUGUGGCUUUACCGUGUAGCAGCGACGGGCCACAUUUUUGCCAUGAUACAAACCCCCAAAAAAUAGACGAUGCAUAAACAGAUCACAAAAUGCGUUGAUAUAUAUUAUGUAGUAGUUUGCAAGAGCGAUGAUUUUUUUCUAUUGAAUUCGCUUCGAGGGGCCUUUAAGAAACAUGAUCCCCGCAGCUACCGAGUUAAAUACCCAGGCGUUAUUCUAUGUAUUCUAAGAUAGUAUAUACAUGUUAAAGAAGCAUUCAAUCACUUAUAGCAACACUCCACACUCCCAUGCUGCACAGACGCCAGGACAUGCUGCUCAAGGCUUAGGGUCAUGCUGCUCAAUGCUCUUAUACUAGGGUUGAGAGGAAGCGACAUGCUGGUGUGUGUGUGUGUGUGUGUGUGUGUGUGUGUGUGUGUGUGUGUGUGUGUG